GGUGGUUCGCAAGAGCGACCAGGGAGUGGCGGACGGGUGAGGAACACGUGGGUGACCUACCUUGCAGUGAGGGAUACCGGCGAGAAAUCGCCGACAAGCCCGCAUACGCUUCCCGCUUCACCGCGGGAAGGAAAGCUUCUUCGCAAGAGGAGGCGCUGAGAGAUGGGCCCGCGGCCGAUUAGCUAGCUGGUGGGGUAAUGGCUUACCAGGGCGACGAUCGGUAGCUGGUCUGAGAGGACGAUCAGCCACACUGGGAUUGAGAACGGCCCAGACUCCUACGGGGGGCAGCAGUGAGGAAUUUUCGGCAAUGGGGGCAACCCUGACCGAGCAACGCCGCGUGCAGGAGGACGGCCUUCGGGUUGUAAACUGCUUUUCUCUGGGACGAGCAAGGACGGUACCAGAGGAAGAAGCCCCGGCUAACUACGUGCCA
RNAcentral lists this ribosomal RNA (430 nucleotides) under uncultured bacterium. RNAcentral describes it as "bacterial SSU rRNA". It matches the Rfam family "Bacterial small subunit ribosomal RNA", at positions 71 to 510 of the family's 1533-position model. The record is from RNAcentral.